Molecule: ribosomal RNA, 649 nt
Filed under: uncultured bacterium
Lineage: Bacteria
Description: bacterial SSU rRNA
Rfam family: Bacterial small subunit ribosomal RNA
Source: RNAcentral
GCUACCAUGCAAGUCGAGCGGUAGAGAGGUGCUUGCACCUCUUGAGAGCGGCGGACGGCUGAGUAAAGCCUAGGAAUCUGCCUGGUAGUGGGGGAUAACGCUCGGAAACGGACGCUAAUACCGCAUACGUCCUACGGGAGAAAGCAGGGGACCUUCGGGCCUUGCGCUAUCAGAUGAGCCUAGGUCGGAUUAGCUAGUUGGUGAGGUAAUGGCUCACCAAGGCGACGAUCCGUAACUGGUCUGAGAGGAUGAUCAGUCACACUGGAACUGAGACACGGUCCAGACUCCUACGGGAGGCAGCAGUGGGGAAUAUUGGACAAUGGGCGAAAGCCUGAUCCAGCCAUGCCGCGUGUGUGAAGAAGGUCUUCGGAUUGUAAAGCACUUUAAGUUGGGAGGAAGGGCAUUAACCUAAUACGUUAGUGUUUUGACGUUACCGACAGAAUAAGCACCGGCUAACUCUGUGCCAGCAGCCGCGGUAAUACAGAGGGUGCAAGCGUUAAUCGGAAUUACUGGGCGUAAAGCGCGCGUAGGUGGUUCGUUAAGUUGGAUGUGAAAUCCCCGGGCUCAACCUGGGAACUGCAUUCAAAACUGUCGAGCUAGAGUAUGGUAGAGGGUGGUGGAAUUUCCUGUGUAGCGGUGAAAUGCGUAG